UUUAUAUUAUAUAAAAUACAUUUGUAAAUAUAUAUUAUAACUAUAAGGUUUUCUGAAGCAUUUGAAAGGAUCAACUGAAUCGAUCGUCAGUAAGUCUGUCGCGCGAAUAAAUGUAUUAUACAAUGUUUCGAAGGACAUGGAGUGCAUAUCGUUUAAACGCAUGCGCAAAAAUGGGAUGCGCGCUUGUCGGACAUUAUAAUUGGUCGUUCGCUCGCAUUUAACGUGAAAAAACAGAAGAGUGUCGUCGGUGGUGCGAUACGUAGCAAGUAUCGUCUCGCUUUGGUCUAUAGUCCAGCUUAUUAAACAUAAGACGAGGAAGAAGAAGAGGAAGAAAAAGAAAUGCAAAAGAAAUCUAGAAAUAGAAAAGAUAGUAAAAGGGAUAAUUUAGAUGAUUGAAUGACAAUGAUAGAAGUUGAGAACUCGUUCUUUCUUCCGCGAAUAUCUUUGCUUUCAACGCGAGGAACACGUGCUUCGAAUGUUUUCUGCUAUAUGGCAUUGUCGAGAAGUUGACAUGUGGGCCACACGAAGCGACGACGAUACAACACAACAACAAACAACACAACGAUGAAGAAGACGAUGACGAUGACGACGACGACGACGACAACGACAAUGUGGUAAAGAAACAUACGAGGACACUAAACGAAUAAGUGAAAAAGAGAUAAAUGCGUAAAGUCAGAGAGCAAGAAAGAGAGAAAGAGAUAGAAAGAGCUUGGACUUUACCGUGAGCCAAUCCAAGCUGUGACCUUGAGGAGCUCUAGAAAGAGAGAUAUAUUUAGUCGUGAGCGGAUCGAGUUGGCUGCCGCCAUAGCUUGUGUGCCUACUCCUUUUGCAUUAGUAUAAUAUAUAUGUGUAUGUGUAGUAGUAGCAGCGUGUAACUGACAUGAGCUGUGGUUUAACUGUGGCUUGUGUGCUUGAUUCUAUUGCAUUAGUAUGUGUACGUACUUGUGUGGAUUUGUGUGCGCAAAUAGCGUGUAACUAAACUGUACUAUAGUUGUAGCUGUAGCUGCUGUUGCUGUAGUCACUGGAAAAGGUCAACGAUAUGUUAAACGAACAACCCAGUGACAAGAGAAACCUAACAGCAGUUCUCCUUGGUUGCUUUUGAAAUACAACGACGAUGAGGACGAUGACGACAAUGACAACGAGUCAUGGGAUACUCAAACUUACUCGGCCCAAUUUCCGUGAAGCUCUCAAGCGUUACGAGGCCACUGGGCAUUCCUAAAUUACAGUUGGUACUUCCGCCACCUAGUAUCUACGCUGUUAAUCUACAGUAUGUUCCAUGAACUCGACGUAAGUGUGUUUCAUUUUACUAUCUAUCGAGGAAAAAUACAGGAAACCUAGAGAUGAGAAUAUUGUCGAGCUUAGAUAUACGUAAAUGGAAUUGAAUUACAAUUUUUUUUAUCUUAAUAUUAAAACAUAGUAUAUAUUUCUGAUGGAAAAGUAUAUUUUUUAAUUGAACAUAAUGCAAACCAAGAUUAGAAAAUUUUACUGCAUGGGUAUGACAAUCAAUAAAAUCUGGCACUUAAAAUUAUUUGCUACUUAAAAGUUACAUGAUCACCUGCAAUCUUACUAGGUUCUUGUUUCACUGUAAUAUCAAUUAUUUUUGCCAUUUUCUAUCAUACCAUAUCGUUUAGUUCGAAAAUUAUAUAGUAAACUCUUAUUCGAGGUAAGAAGUAGUAUAUAUUAGAAUUGUUAUUUAUUAAAAACUUAAAAGUAU
RNAcentral lists this long non-coding RNA (1714 nucleotides) under Polistes fuscatus (common paper wasp). Its description in RNAcentral is "uncharacterized LOC122523294". The record is from RNAcentral. Lineage: Eukaryota; Metazoa; Arthropoda; Insecta; Hymenoptera; Vespidae.